Molecule: small RNA, 109 nt
Filed under: uncultured Saccharofermentans sp.
Lineage: Bacteria; Bacillati; Bacillota; Clostridia; Eubacteriales; Oscillospiraceae
Description: DUF3800-I RNA
Rfam family: DUF3800-I RNA
About the family: Actinobacteria, Firmicutes, Fusobacteria, Proteobacteria (1 example), Tenericutes (2 examples). Terminator (Clostridia)
Source: RNAcentral
UUAUAUUACAGGUAGCAAUACGCUGUAUACUCGUGUAUCCGAAUUAACGUUUAAGCGUCAUUAGAUGGCGCCGGUCACGAGGAACCACCCUUCGGGGUGGUUUUUAAUU